UACGAGGGGGGCGAGCGUUGUUCGGAAUUAUUGGGCGUAAAGGGUGCGUAGGCGGCCUGACAAGUCUGAUGUGAAAUCCCUGGGCUCAACCCAGGGCCUGCAUCGGAAACUGUCGGGCUUGAGUAUGGGAGAGGUGAGUGGAAUUUCCGGUGUAGCGGUGAAAUGCGUAGAUAUCGGAAGGAACACCUGUGGCGAAAGCGGCUCACUGGACCAUUACUGACGCUGAGGCACGAAGCUAGGGGAGCAAACAGG
This 252-nucleotide ribosomal RNA is filed under the name uncultured bacterium. RNAcentral's name for it is "partial 16S ribosomal RNA". It matches the Rfam family "Bacterial small subunit ribosomal RNA", at positions 524 to 776 of the family's 1533-position model. The record is from RNAcentral.